This 558-nucleotide unclassified non-coding RNA is filed under the name Hevea brasiliensis (rubber tree). Lineage: Eukaryota; Viridiplantae; Streptophyta; Magnoliopsida; Malpighiales; Euphorbiaceae. The record is from RNAcentral.
GGAUGUGAUAGCUCAAAACACCGGGAGGAGUGGUGGAGUUGUGAGCGGUUCUGAUUGUUGUUUGAUUAUCGCUGCCGCACUUGAACGGAGCAAUGCUGAAUUGGCGAUAUCUGUAUUUGAUGCUAUGCGUUCCACUUUUCAUCCUGGGACGACUGUUUUAGACAGAGGCCCAUCCUAUGAUAGAUGGAGGUGGUCAAGGCCAGAUGUUAACACAUAUACCUUGUUAGUUCGAGGACUUGCAACACUGCUGAGGGUUUCGGAUGCCCUUAAAAUCAUUGCCAAUGUUUGUCGAGUGAGCAUUUCUCCUAAUGAAGAGGUUCUCUUUGGCAAAGUUGUCCGAUGUCCAAGUUGUGAGAUUGCUGUUACUGUUGCUCAGCCACAAGAUGGUAUCCAGGUUGUAUCCUGUUCAAAAUGCCGUUACCAGUAUGAGCUCCUUUCAGGCAAUAUUGUUAGUAUAGAGUCGGAAGAUUUUAGGUUCUCCUCCUGCCGAACGCAGCAUGGAUAUUCCUGCAUGGAGAAGGGGACUAAGAUUCCUGCCGAUAAAGCAAAACAUUCCAG